Molecule: long non-coding RNA, 271 nt
Filed under: Musa acuminata (dwarf banana)
Lineage: Eukaryota; Viridiplantae; Streptophyta; Magnoliopsida; Zingiberales; Musaceae
Description: long non-coding RNA (MACU_LNC007816)
Source: RNAcentral
UAGCGCCAACAAUGCUUUAACUCGACAAUCAACGUGCACCUCCGGACCACCUCCGACCACCCGAACACUUACUGAAUGACGGCAGCCUCAACAACAUCAAAACAAACGGUCUCAAAAAGGUAGUUGUUAUGAUCGAACCACCCUCAUACUGAAACAAACAACUGGGAAUUCCGCUAUUCACUAUUAGACUGAAAACACACCGCUUGUAAGGCUGCCCCUCUUUACUUGUAUUCCGUAGCUAUUGCUUCCAGUACUUCAACCCUUACCAACA